GAUGAACGCUGGCGGCGUGCCUAAUACAUGCAAGUCGAGCGAACAGACGAGGAGCUUGCUCCUCUGACGUUAGCGGCGGACGGGUGAGUAACACGUGGAUAACCUACCUAUAAGACUGGGAUAACUUCGGGAAACCGGAGCUAAUACCGGAUAAUAUAUUGAACCGCAUGGUUCAAUAGUGAAAGACGGUUUUGCUGUCACUUAUAGAUGGAUCCGCGCCGCAUUAGCUAGUUGGUAAGGUAACGGCUUACCAAGGCAACGAUGCGUAGCCGACCUGAGAGGAUGAUCGGCCACCCUGGAACUGAGACACGGUCCAGACUCCUACGGGAGGCAGCAGUAGGGAAUCUUCCGCAAUGGGCGAAAGCCUGACGGAGCAACGCCGCGUGAGUGAUGAAGGUCUUCGGAUCGUAAAACUCUGUUAUUAGGGAAGAACAAAUGUGUAAGUAACUAUGCACGUCUUGACGGUACCUAAUCAGAAAGCCACGGCUAACUACGUG
Molecule: ribosomal RNA, 497 nt
Filed under: uncultured bacterium
Lineage: Bacteria
Description: partial 16S ribosomal RNA
Rfam family: Bacterial small subunit ribosomal RNA
Source: RNAcentral